RNAcentral lists this ribosomal RNA (257 nucleotides) under uncultured prokaryote. RNAcentral's name for it is "partial 16S ribosomal RNA". It matches the Rfam family "Bacterial small subunit ribosomal RNA", at positions 524 to 780 of the family's 1533-position model. The record is from RNAcentral.
UACGGAGGAUUCAAGCGUUAUCCGGAUUCAUUGGGUUUAAAGGGUGCGUAGGCGGGCUAUUAAGUCAGUGGUGAAAUCCUGCAGCUUAACUGCAGAACUGCCGUUGAUACUGAUAGUCUUGAGUUUGGUUAAGGUAGGCGGAAUGUGUAAUGUAGCGGUGAAAUGCUUAGAUAUUACACAGAACACCAAUUGCGUAGGCAGCUUACUGAGCCGACACUGACGCUGAGGCACGAAAGCGUGGGGAUCAAACAGGAUUA